Molecule: long non-coding RNA, 619 nt
Organism: Rana temporaria (common frog)
Lineage: Eukaryota; Metazoa; Chordata; Amphibia; Anura; Ranidae
Exons: 3
Source: RefSeq, a predicted model, not a curated record
UCACAGAGCAAACCUAAUGUCUUCCAGUUGGGUUUACAUCUCCUUUUAAAGCUGCUGCGCAUACAAUUAUUUAAUUUAAUUGGGUGUCAGUGGGUGAUGUUAGUUGUGGAUGAGCUAGAAACGAAUCAGUCAGGUAAUUGCGUAGAUAAAGACACCUGUAGGUGUGAUGUCUAAUUGAUUACAUCAAUGCAGUGGGGAGGAUUAGCUGUCCCUGCAGUCUCCAGGUUCCCAUGGCGUGUGAAGCUCUGCAGUGACAACAGUACCUGUGUGUGCCUGGUUACACCACGGGGAGGUUUUCGUCAAUGUGAGGGCAACUCAAGACUAAAAAGAAGAUGUUUAGGAUACAAAGGCGAAGAGCCAGUUGAUCUGUGCAGUAAUCCAGUGUGAAACAUUGCCAUUUGCCAGGAACAUUCUGCAAUGAAGACCAGUCACUUCUGCUCUCUCUCCUUGUGCAGGGUGACUGGUCUUGUCUCCACCCCCUCCUGUAGUUUUCUGCAGGCAGACUGUAUUGAGUGGCCCUGCUGGGAUCCUCACAUGUCUGUUCUCUGCAUGGGCUAUGGGAACUUUAUUUUUUCCAUGAGAUGAUUGCUUACCAUAAAAAGAUUUUAUUUUCCAUAAA